Molecule: long non-coding RNA, 1905 nt
Filed under: Equus caballus (horse)
Lineage: Eukaryota; Metazoa; Chordata; Mammalia; Perissodactyla; Equidae
Description: lncRNA (ENSECAG00000047760.1)
Source: RNAcentral
CGGAGGUCUUCCUCCCAAAAACCCAUAACCUGGGUCUGUCUAAUCAUGAGGAAAAGAUUAGAGGAAUCCCAAUUAGGAGACUUUCUACAAAACACCUGGUCAGCAAUCCUCGAAACAGCCAAGGUCAUCAAAAAGAGAAACUCUGAGAAACUGUUCUAGCCAAGAGGGGCCUAAGGAGACCUAACUGCUAACUGUAAUGUGCUGUCCCGCAUGAGAUCCUCAGGCAGAAAGGGGACGUGAAGGGAAAACAGGAAAUCUGAAGAAAGUGUGGGCUUUAGUCAAGAAUAUGUGUCAAUAUGCGUUUGUUAGUUGUGGCAAAUGUACCACACCAACAUGAGGCGUCAACAGCAGGGCACACUGGGUGCCGGGUGUAUGAAACUCUCUGUACUAUCCUCCCAAUAGCUCUGUAAAUCUAAAACUGUUCUUUUUAUUAAAACAAAAAGCAGGCCCGCUCAAAGUUGACCAACAUCUAGCUACUUCCUUGUGAAGUGAUCCAAAUGAGUGUCCACACAUCAUCCUCUCGCAGUCGGGAAACCAGGGCACUCAGACAAAGGGGCGUGCUCAGAGUUUCAACAGGAGGCCAAGACUGCAAGGCGUUCUCUCUGCGGGGUCCUGGCUGGGAAGCAGGUUUCCCCCAUAAAGCCAGCUGUCCACCGUGCUGGAGACAUUGAUGCUAAAGCAUCCAUCUUUCAACUGUGUUCUUGAACUAUAGAUGUCAGUGGUCCAUAGGAGUAACAAUGUGGUGUCUUAUAAAGUCUUGGAAGGAGGGAAAUAAGAAUCAAGUUACCCAAAUAGAAAUUAACCCAUCAAUUAGAGUAACCUAAGGAACUGUCUAAUAAUAUGAUGGAAGAAUUGUCACGUCGACUUAGGGAAGAACUGUGCUGUGGUGACAUGAACUGAGCACAGCCUUAUGCCUCUGUCCUGUUCCUUGUGUGGGAAAGGCUGUGAUCAGACCGAAGAUGGAUAAAGCAGCCUAAGGAGCCCAGAGAGGGCAGCAAGCAUCCAAGAGCUGACCAGCAGAGGAUGCCUAGCCACAAGACCUGGCCUCUCUGCAUCCUCCACUCCUGUUUGUGUCUUUCAGCAACUUCACUUUGCUUGGGACUCCUGGCUCCCCGUUACGGGUUGAAAUAUCUCCCCCAAAAGAUAUGUUGAAGCGCUAAUCUGGUACCUGUGAGUGUGACCUUAUUUGCAAAGAGGGUCGUUGCAGAUGUAAUUAGCCAAGUUAAGGUGAGGUCGUACUGGAGUCGAGCCGUUAGCACUCAGGCUCACACCCGGCUCAGGGAGCUUCUGCUUUCCUCCCUGUGGACUGACAAAGCUGUUCUGAACCUCCAAGGAUGAAGAGCAGCUCCUGGACUGUAGUGCACUCAAGAGGAAGACGUGGCCCUCCCUAUCGACACGGUAGCCUCACCAAGUGCUUUUUAUUCCACACUUCCUCCCCCACCCCAACUACAAGGAACGUGCAAAGAAAAGAGAUGGGGAAGAAAGAUGCCUGUCGACGAAAAUAAUCCAUAACCAAUCUGUAAAUGAAAAUUUGGGUGAGUUUAUUCUGAGCUGAAAUCUGAGGACCAUAGCCCGGGGCCUUUCUUCCCAAAGUAAGAAAGGGCACCGAAGAAGUGGGGUGCACAGAGUGGUUAUAUACCCUCAAACAGGGUGUCUCACAUGAUUGAAAUGUCCCUCCCACAAUAGUCACAAGAUUGCCCUGUCGGCACAGCACUUGAUGGACACAGCAGGUAGUGGGUCUGCUAUCUGCAAGGGCGCAGCAGGAGGCAAGUCUAUUGUCUCAAGCUGGGCGGUCACAGGUGAGCGCAGCAAUCAGUUUCUAGCCUAAGGAAAGAUGCUUAAUCCUUAAGGAGACACCAACGUUGGGAGGGGGAGGGAAGUUGCACCUUUAUCUCAAGGGCCUUU